Molecule: ribosomal RNA, 477 nt
Filed under: endosymbiont of Sphenophorus levis
Lineage: Bacteria; Pseudomonadati; Pseudomonadota; Gammaproteobacteria
Description: bacterial SSU rRNA
Rfam family: Bacterial small subunit ribosomal RNA
Source: RNAcentral
AGUAAAGUACUUUCAGCGCGGGAGUGAAGGUGUUGAGUGUUAAUAACCCUCAGCAAUUUGACGUUACCCGCAGAAGAAGCACCCGGCUAACUCCGUGCCAGCAGCCGCGGUAAUACGUGAGUGGUGCAAGCGUUAAUCGGAAUUACUGGGCGUAAAGCGCACGCAGGCGGUCUGUCAAGUCGGAUGUGAAAUCCCCGGGCUCAACCUGGGAACUGCAUUCGAAACUGGCAGGCUAGAGUCUUGUAGAGGGGGGUAGAAUUCCAGGUGUAGCGGUGAAACUGCGUAGACGAUCUGGACGGAAUACCGGUGGCGAAGGCGGCCCCUGGACAAAGACUGACGCUCAGGUGCGAAAGCGUGGGGAGCAACACAGGAUUAGAUACCCUGGUAGUCCACGCCUGUAAAACGAUGUCGACUUGGAGUGUUGUGCCCUUGAGUGCGUGGCUUCACGGAGCUAACGCGUUAAGUCAGACUGCCUGC